GAUCAUGACUCAGGAUGAACGCUGGCGGCGUGCUUAACACAUGCAAGUCGAACGAAGCACUUUAUUACAAUUUCUUCGGAAUGACGAUUUAGUGACUGAGUGGCGGACGGGUGAGUAACGCGUGGGUAACCUGCCUUAUACAGGGGGAUAACAGUUAGAAAUGACUGCUAAUACCGCAUAAGCGCACAGGAUUGCAUGAUCUGGUGUGAAAAACUCCGGUGGUAUAAGAUGGACCCG
This 237-nucleotide ribosomal RNA is filed under the name uncultured bacterium. Its description in RNAcentral is "partial 16S ribosomal RNA". It matches the Rfam family "Bacterial small subunit ribosomal RNA", at positions 15 to 233 of the family's 1533-position model. The record is from RNAcentral.